Molecule: ribosomal RNA, 24 nt
Filed under: Cornus multinervosa
Lineage: Eukaryota; Viridiplantae; Streptophyta; Magnoliopsida; Cornales; Cornaceae
Also listed under: 2 other names
Description: partial 18S ribosomal RNA
Source: RNAcentral
UGUGAACCUGCGGAAGGAUCAUUG